RNAcentral lists this ribosomal RNA (205 nucleotides) under uncultured bacterium. RNAcentral describes it as "partial 16S ribosomal RNA". It matches the Rfam family "Bacterial small subunit ribosomal RNA", at positions 570 to 774 of the family's 1533-position model. The record is from RNAcentral.
CGUAGGCGGCCUUCUAAGUCGAACGUGAAAUCCCUGGGCUCAACCCAGGAACUGCGUCCGAUGCUGGAAGGCUUGAAUCCGGGAGAGGGAUGCGGAAUUCCAGGUGUAGCGGUGAAAUGCGUAGAUAUCUGGAGGAACACCGGUGGCGAAGGCGGCAUCCUGGACCGGUAUUGACGCUGAGGCGCGAAAGCCAGGGGAGCAAACG